This 416-nucleotide ribosomal RNA is filed under the name uncultured bacterium. RNAcentral's name for it is "bacterial SSU rRNA". It matches the Rfam family "Bacterial small subunit ribosomal RNA", at positions 917 to 1333 of the family's 1533-position model. The record is from RNAcentral.
GGGCCCGCACAAGCAGUGGAGCAUGUGGUUUAAUUCGAUGCAACGCGAAGAACCUUACCUGGUCUUGACAUCCUGCGAACUUUUUAGAGAUAGAAGGUGCCUUCGGGAACGCAGUGACAGGUGCUGCAUGGCUGUCGUCAGCUCGUGUUGUGAAAUGUUGGGUUAAGUCCCGUAACGAGCGCAACCCUUGUCCUUAUUUGCCAGCACGUAAUGGUGGGAACUCUAAGGAGACUGCCGGUGACAAACCGGAGGAAGGUGGGGACGACGUCAAGUCAUCAUGGCCCUUACGACCAGGGCUACACACGUGCUACAAUGGGGCGUACAGAGGGUUGCGAAGCCGCGAGGUGGAGCCAAUCCCAGAAAACGUCUCGUAGUCCGGAUUGGAGUCUGCAACUCGACUCCAUGAAGUCGGAAUC